RNAcentral lists this ribosomal RNA (207 nucleotides) under uncultured bacterium. Its description in RNAcentral is "partial 16S ribosomal RNA". It matches the Rfam family "Bacterial small subunit ribosomal RNA", at positions 568 to 774 of the family's 1533-position model. The record is from RNAcentral.
CGCGUAGGUGGUUUGUUAAGCGAGAUGUGAAAGCCCCGGGCUUAACCUGGGAACGGCAUUUCGAACUGGCAGGCUAGAGUGUGGUAGAGGGUAGUGGAAUUUCCUGUGUAGCGGUGAAAUGCGUAGAUAUAGGAAGGAACACCAGUGGCGAAGGCGACUCUCUGGCCUGAUACUGACGCUGAGGUGCGAAAGCGUGGGGAGCGAACG